UGGGCGCGGAGGCCGCGCCCGCUAGGAGCCCCGGGCGGCGGCAGGUGUUGCGGGUGGGGCGACCCCGAGGUGCGACCUCGGCGUGGCUGGCGGUUGGUCCGGGCGAGGAGCCCGCAGCCUGGGCGUCAGCGUGGUCAGGGCCGUCGUGGCUCCCGCCGCGGGCCUCGGCGCAGAGAUCCUAAGGCCGCGGCGCCGUCCCGGUCCCGCCAGUGGUGCCACCCGGCUGCCUCGCCGUGGUGUGCCGUGGUCGCCACCGGGCCCGACACGCGGCCGUAGCCCCGUCUGGAGAGCCGGGCGGUGCCAGCCAAGCCCCGCGGGUGGGGCCUGUUCCUCUGCCCGCAGCAGCCGGCCCGGGUUCCGGCCACCGCGGCCCCUCACCGCCUCCUGGCGCCUUCCCCGUGGCCCCUGCAUGCGCUUCUGCGGGCGCCUCCUUCUCGGCACCUGCUCGGCUGCUUCUCCCUGCGUCCCCCACCUGGCUCCCGCGUGAGCCCAGGCAGCGCCCCAGUCGGGCCGCCCCCGCCAGCCCUAGCUGUGCGCCCUGCGUCCCCGGUACUGAUCCAGCUUUGCGGAGGAGGCUCCGCCUCCUGCCUCCAGCUGGGCCAGAAGCUCUGGGGCCCUUCCCGAGCACUCGGGAGCCACCUGUGCACAUCUUCUCAGUCCCCACGGCCCCGGUGCAGGCCUGCCAAGAGAAGGAUCCCCGCGGAAACGUCUCGACUGACUCAGUCCCUUUCUGCACACCUGCUCUUCCCUGGGCGCGCUCUCGCCUUACUUAUUCCUGUGUGGUUCAGGCGCUGCGGAAGGAGAAGGCACCUAGACUGCACUGGGAAGGCUCCUGGAGUUGACCUGGAGCGCCAGGAAAGGUAUAUUUCCACACUGCUCGUAAAUUUUCUGCGCGGUCCCCAGAGCGCCCCCCAUGAGGCACCUGCAUCAGCUCCGGGCAGAGCAGAUGUGGAUGCCACCGCCUAGAAGCCGGGGCUACCCUGCGGACUGGGACUGUCCCAUAAGGAUACUGAGCUAAGGAUAAUGCAGAAUAACCGUUGAAAGUACCCAAGACCAGAGCUUGGAAGCAGAGCGGAAUAUGGAUCAGAGGGAGACAGGAGUCAGGGCCCUGCAGUUGGAGGCAGGUACAGCAAUCAGAUGUGGGGGUGGGUACAAUGACCAUGAGUCUCUAAUGGUGAUGGGGUGGAGGGGCAGAGGAGAAAGCUGUUUAGGAGGCUGAAUCCACAGGGCUUUGUCCCCAUGUCAUCUUGGUCAGAGUCUCGGAAUCUCCUGCCCACACCCCCUUCACUGUCCUCUCUGCACGCCCCUUUUGAAUCCACUGCACAUCACUUGAGGCCCUAGAUCCAGCCUGUACAAUUCUCAGGUUUGUUUUGUGCAAUUCUGGGCUCCCAGCUAGACUGCAAGCUGCCCAGUGCUGGGCUGAUUCUUAUAACAGAAAUCAUUUCUCAAUUUAGGAUGUGGAGAUAGAGCUGUGUUUUCUAAACAACGGGCUUCACAUUCCCAUAAACCUAAACAGCAGAUUUUAGCCAUUCCAAGGGCCUCUGCCCACGCUUCAGUUCAGCAACAACCACCGUGAGCUGCUCUGUGCUGUGCCCUGAACCAGAGAUGGAGCAGACAAGCCCCCUGCCCCUGAGCAGCCCCCACAGCAACAGGGGUGACAGCUGGUGAACACGGCAAUUUCCCAAAGCAAAAUGAAAGCUGUGCUCCCAGAGGAGCCAGCAAAGUGGCUGUAAGGGCAGAGGAGCGGGGAAGUGGGAGCAGACCACAUGAGUGGAAUCCAGAACAUUAGGACUGGAAGGGAACUGAGGUGGGGUAGGUUUCUUGGAGAAAGUAGUGUCAAAACAAGGGUUUUCCCUAGCCACCUGGCAACUCUGUGAUCUUAACCUCUCUCAGGCUCAGUGUCUUAUCAAGAAAAGGGGGCUAAUGAUCAUAGAACUGUUAAGCGUAUUCAGUGAGAAUGUAUAUAGAGCACUUAGCACAAUCACUGGCUUACAGUAAGCAGUCAAUAAAUAUGAGCUAGUUAUUGCAUCAUUCAAGGCCCCAGCAGACACCAAAUUUUCCUUCCUCAUUUAGCAUUUCUAUCACAGGACUGUGAUUAUAUAUAUAUAUAUUUAUUUACUUAUUAUUUAUUUUUUGAGAUGGAGUUUCUCUUUUCUUGCAGGCUGGAGUUCAAUGGCGCAAUCUUGGCUCACUGCAACCUCCGUCUCCCAGGUUUAAGCAAUUCUCCUGCCUCAGCCUCCCGAGUAGCUGGGAUUACAGGUGCCCACCACCACACCUGGCUAAUUUUUGUAUUUUUAGUAGAGACGGGGUUUCACCACAUUGACCAAGCUGGUCUUGAACUCCUGACCUCAGGUGAUCCACCCGCCUCAGCCUCCCAAAGUGCUGGGAUUACAGGAAUAAGCCACCACACCCGGCCCAGGACUGUGAUUAUACUUUAACCCUUUUCCUAGCAUCUUGUUAUUUCCUACAUGGUCUUGUGUACAGGCAUUUGUUGAAUGGAAAUGCACUUUUUUUUAGCCAGGCAUGGUAGCAUGUGCCUGUAACUCCAGCUACUCAGGAGGCUGAGGCAGGAGAAUAGUUUGAGCUUGGGAGGCGGAGGUUGCGGUCAGCCCAGAUUGCGCCACUGCACUCCAGUGGGCAACAGAAUGAGUCCCUAUCUCAAAAAAAAAAAAAAAAAAGAAAAAAAAAAAAAGAAAAAAAAAGAAAUGCACUUUUCGUUGGUGCCGCUGCCAGCUGAACUUUGCCACAAAACCCCAGAAAACCUUAAUUACUUGGUAAGAUUCUGGACCAUAACCCACAAUCUGGGAAGAUGGAGGUCAAGCUGGUCUCACAUGCUUCUGCUGCCAAGAGGCCUAGAAGGGGAAGCAAAUUAGGGUGAAAACACUAUCCUAUACAAAGUCCUGGCAGCCUGAAGUUCCCCAGUUCCAUGGAGAACAGAGUAAGCACUUCCUUCAGAAUCCAUUAGGCUCCAAAUUCCUUUUAAUCUGGGUAUUUGGCCUUAACAGCUUUGGCAAACAUGCAUCGAUCUCACCAAAUGCCUAUGUCCUAAGGAAUGCGGCCUAAUGACCAAGAACACAGGUGGCAUGAGUCUUAGCCCCUUUACCUCCGAAGCCUCUAGCCCUUUUCUUCUUAUUACUAAGUUAACAUUUGGCUGCUCUAUUAUAAAGCCAACUGACUAGAGGCUGGAGGAAAUAGAAGUGCCAGACUUGAACAGGGAGUCGAGGACUGGAUUCAAGGUUCACUUCUGUCAUUUAUUCAUUUUGUGAGCUCAGGGAAAUCACUUUCUCUUGUACUUUCCCAUCCCAGUUUCUCCAUCUGUAAAACAAAGGAGCUAGAUAUGAUGACCGAUUUUGCUUCCACCUCUGAAAUUCUACCAUUUAACCAGAAAUUUCAGCAUACUGUGACAUAGUGUGACAAACUGGUCCCAUUCUGAGAACCCAGGAUCUCCAUGAUUUCUAGUAUCUUUUUACAUAAUACUAUUUGUUUAAUCAUGUAAGUAGGACAGAUAUCCUACAUGUUCAUGUUAAUAGCUUGUCUUUUUUUUUGAGACAGGGUCUCGCUGUGUCACCCAGGCUGGGGUGCAGUGGUGCAAUCGUGGCUCACUGUAGCCUUGACUUCCCAGGCUCAAGUGAUCCUCCCACCUUAAGUUCCCUAGUAGUUGCGGCUAUAGGCAUGUGCCACCAUGCCUAAUUGUUUCUUUAGUUUUAGUAGAUACAAGGUCUUACUAUGUUUCCCAGGCUGGUCUCCAACUCCUGAACUCAAGUGAUCCUCCUGCCUUGGCCUCCCAUAGUGCUGGGAUUAUGGGCGUGAGCCACCAUGCCCAGCCAUAUUAAACAAAAUUAACAAGGAUGAAAUAAAACAAGAUCUAUUAAGCUCUAUAAUUUAUCCAUCAAGAUAUUUUGAUUUGCGGAAUGCAUUUAAGUACCUACAACAUGAUUAUACCCCAGGGUAACAUUUAUAGAUAAGGUAAUAGUUGAAAAGAAAAUCAGGAAAUACAAAAUAUUUGUUACUGCAAGCAAUUUUAAUACAAAA
Long non-coding RNA from Homo sapiens (human), 4032 nucleotides. RefSeq lists it as uncharacterized. Lineage: Eukaryota; Metazoa; Chordata; Mammalia; Primates; Hominidae. The record is from RefSeq and is a predicted model, not a curated record. The transcript has 2 exons.